Ictidomys tridecemlineatus (thirteen-lined ground squirrel) is the source of this 589-nucleotide long non-coding RNA. RefSeq lists it as uncharacterized. The record is from RefSeq and is a predicted model, not a curated record. NCBI's taxonomy places the organism in Eukaryota, Metazoa, Chordata, Mammalia, Rodentia, Sciuridae.
UCACGGCAGCGUGGGCGAGCGCGGUGACGUCACCUGCCAGCCUCGGGCCUUUGCGUGCGGGGACAGUUCUUAUGAGGCCCUGCUGAUAAGCCGGGGUUGGCUUCCUUUUGGCCUUCUGUCCCUUCCCAGGAGUUCAGAGUCCACCAAGAGAAAAGACGAACACCAUGAAACUCUAAUCUGUGCGCCCGGCUUCCGGAAGUUCUUUUAACUUCAGGGAGUUAUACAGCUUGUGCCUGUCAAUGGAGAUCAAAGGACAAGGGAAAAAGGGGGUUUCAUGGUCAGACAGCCAGGUGCUGAGCAUGUCAUCAACUAUUCUUUCCAGAGGCUAAGUCUAGACUGCACCAUCCCUGUCCUGGGGACAGCCACCAGCCCAAAGCCCAAGGCUGAAGGACACAUCACAUCACUUGCUCAGGUGACACUGUUCCCAGGAUGGACUGACUUUAGUCUCAAGGACGACACACAGACAAGAUACCAUCCCCUGGCUCAAAUCCCUCUUCUUCCCUUCUUGAGAACACAGGUAUUUUAGAGGCCACUGGACUAGGUGUUAGGAGCACCAGGGCUUUGGAAUAAAACAUGGGCUUGCAUGUCA